CACGUAGUUAGCCGGGGCUUCUUCUUCAGGUACCGUCAUCGUCGUUCCUGCUGACAGAGCUUUACGCGCCGAGGCGCUUCUUCACUCACGCGGCGUCGCUGCAUCAGGGUUUCCCCCAUUGUGCAAUAUUCCCCACUGCUGCCUCCCGUAGGAGUUUGGGCCGUGUCUCAGUCCCAAUGUGGCCGUCCACCCUCUCAGGCCGGCUACCGAUCGUCGCUUUGGUGGGCCGUUACCCCGCCAACUGGCUAAUCGGACGCGGGCUCAUCCCGUACCACCGGAGUUUUCAAGGCCGGGGCAUGCGCCCCCGCCUGUCAUGCGGUGUUAGCACCUGUUUCCAGGUGUUAUCCCCCGGUACGGGGCAGAUUGCCCACGCGUUACUCACCCGUCCGCCACUAGGCCGCGUCCGGUUCGGGUCAGGCAAGCCUUCCCCUCCCCUUACGCGGCCCCGUUCGACUUGCAUGUGUUAGGCACGCCGCCAGCGUUCAUCCUGAGCCAGGAUCAAACUCU
Molecule: ribosomal RNA, 507 nt
Filed under: uncultured Lachnospiraceae bacterium
Lineage: Bacteria; Bacillati; Bacillota; Clostridia; Lachnospirales; Lachnospiraceae
Description: partial 16S ribosomal RNA
Source: RNAcentral